CAGAAACGCGCAGAUAGAAAUAGAGUACAAAAUAUGGCUGUGGAGCAGAAACUUACCUUCUAAGGUAAAUAGAGAAAUAGAUACAUACUCUACAGGGUAGGGUGAAAGGAAAGUAUUAGAACACGCACAGACUCCUGUGCUCCUUUCCCCCCCCCCCCCAAUAGACAUUAAGUAAAUAGCUACUAUGUACCAAGUCUGUGGAGGCGCUGAGAACACAAACAUGAAGAAGCUGCCAGAUCCUCAAGGAGCCCAGCCUGGUGGUGGUGGUGAUGGGGAGGCGGGGGAGGGAGGAGAGAGGGAGCCUAAGGAGUGGAGGCUGGCGGAUGAGAUUAGACGGGAGGGCUGAAAAACUGAAUAUACAGUUGAUAUUUGGGGAUACAGAUAUGUGCUGGCUUCUGUGACAGAAAUCUCCCCCUGAACCUCUGGGGGAAAAAAUUAGCUUCAUUUGCCAAAUUUGGCCAGAUAUGACGCUGUUCUACAGAUGUCCUCUCGAAUAGGCUUAAAAAUCCUCCUCUCGCUUCUGGCCCUCGAUUUCCCCACCAUUAGGGUGUCUGGCAAGGGAGGGGGCAGGUUGAAAACUGCACCCACGUUUGCAGCCUCGGCUCUCUGCUGGAGACAGGAAUCCAGGGCUUUGCCGUCGUCAUAGCAACUAGGAGUUCCGCGGUCCCCCACCUUCCUCCAACUCCUACUUCCCCCGCCGGCCCGGCAGAGCCGCCGCUUCUCUCGCGAGAUUUGAGCACAGUGCCGAGCGGCCCAGAGGUGAUCUCACCCGAGACUUGCGGAGGGAGGGAGUGAAGGAGGGGAAGGAAUGGGGCGGGGAGGCGGGGAGGCGAGGGGAGUGGAAGGGAGGGAAGGGCGAGUGAGGCGCCGCCACCGUCGGCAACUUUGUGAGCGAGUUCAGUGCGUGCGUGAGCGAGUAAGCGAAAAAGGAGAGCGCGCGGCGGACGCGCCCCGGACGCGCGGUGGCACCGGGAGGCCGGGCAGAGCGGUUCAGUUUCAAAUGUGAAUGACAGUAAACUAAUAUCCAAGAUUCCUGUAUAAGAAGUCGAUCAAAAGGACUGUACUUUCAGGUAAGGAGCUAAUUUUACUUUAUCUUUAAUAAUACACAGCUGCUUUGGCAGGAGUCUGGCAUGUCCCCUACCCCCUUUCACAUGAAUAGAAGUAUAGGUGAAUUUUUUAAAAGGCACAAAUUGAUUACCCUAGACAGGUUUCCACCUGUUUGGGAUUAUAAGAGGUGUCAGCCGAGUUGGCCACUUAAAACCAUUAGAGAAGCAAUCAAUAUGUGAUGGCAGUUAACACACAUAUACACUCAUAAUGGCCUAAAGUUGUAUUUGAGUUUUUUGUUUUUGUUUUUUUUUUUAGAUGGAGGAAGGAAAUCAUCCUUUCUUCUAAUACCUACCCUUUCCUUCCCAUAAUUGAUCGAUUACUCUGUCAUCUAUUUUCCAUGUAUUUGAAGUUUAAACACAUAGAUGAUUUUCAGAUUAAUUUCUCUACCUCUGUGGCAUCCCAAAGUACAAGAAUAGCUCUGGGCAUAAGAGAUCAUAGGAAAAGCCCUGUACUUGAAGUAAUUUGGAAUUUACAGGGCUAGUAUUUAGAAAUGAAUUUUCCCCUGGAGGAAAGGGAACUGUGCAGACCGGACACAAACAGCUCCCCCCAGUCAAAAAAACAUUUGCAUAGAAAACAUUGUGCUGAGUUGGGAUUGUCAUAGUUUUAUGGAUACAAAUAAAAGCAUAUUUCAUAGAAGUCAUAUAUUGGCUUUUUAAUCAAUUACCUAGUUUUUCUAAUUGAUUUUGAGGCAUUGAGUCCUCCUCCCACCCCCAUAUUAGCCUUUGCACCUCAUUACGAUGGUUAUUUUUCAAGUUUAAAAUAUGUAAAAUUCAAUUUUAAAUUAAUAGCAUCCUUUGAAGAAGGACUGUGGCAACUGGGUGAGUAAUCCAAAAAUUACUGCUGAGUAAAGCAUUGUAGGAUGGCUCUUGUAGCAGGCUCUGUCUCCUGACUGUGUUACCAGUGAACAGAAAUUAGUUUGCAAAACAUGAGCACACCAGCAAAGAGAGCUCAGUAGAGACAAACUGGCUUGGGAUUUAUAACAAGCUGCAGAUGGUGUAUGGACAUAAUUUCUUUCCAGUUCAUCCUGGGAUCAGCUUAGUCAGACCUCUGUAGUAACUUUUUUUUUUUUUUUUUUUUUUAACGUUUAUUUAUUUUUUGAGACAGAGAGAGACAGAGCAUGAAUGGGGGAGGGUCAGAGAGAGAGGGAGACACAGAAUCUGAAACAGGCUCCAGGCUCUGAGCUGUCAACACAGAGCCCGAAGUGGGGCUCGAACUCAUGGACUGCGAGAUCAUGACCUGAGCCGAAGUUGGAUGCUCAACCAACUGAGCCACCCAGGCGCCCCUGACCUCUGUAGUAACUCUUAACUCACCUCCCUGCACGGCUCUUUGCAAGGGUGAGAUCCCCUUACUCUCUGCUGAGAACUCUCCUGGGCCUCUCCCACUGCCUGUCACAGCAAUUCUCAAACUUUUGGGUCUCAGAAACCCUAGCAUUAAAAUUGUUGAAGCCCCAAGAGAACUUUAGUGUUGAUGUUGAUUAUAUCCAUUACUACUUACUGUAUUGAAAUGGAGAAAAAUUUAGAGCAUUAGAAUAUAUAAGCUUGCAUUCCCUUAGCUGCAGAGUGAUGACAUCAUUGCCCCUUAGCUGCAGAGUGAUGACAUCAUUAGUCCUGCAGUUUCUGGCAAACACUGUACAUUUAGGAGAGAAAGAAAGAAAAGGCAAAUUGUAUGCUAUUAUAUUUAAAAGUUAGAUUUAUUGAGGCAUAACUUAUAUACAGUGAAAUUCACCUUUUUAAGUGUUCAGUUCUUCUCUGGGUUUUGACAAAUGCAUUGUGGUUGUAGAAGAUAAAGAACAUUUCCAUCACUCUAGAAUGUUCCCCUGCCUUAGCCUUAUACCCUCUGACCUUUUUCUGUCCUGUAGUUGUGCUUUGUCCCAAAUGUCAUGUAAAUGGAAUCGCAGAGUCGUAGCCUUUUGAGGCUGGCUUCUUUCAUUUAACAUAACACAUUUGAGAUUCAUCCAUGCUGUUGUGUAUAUCACUGAUUCUUUUUUUUUUUUUUUUUUCUUUAAUUGCUGAGUCUUAUUCCAAUGUAUGAAAAUACUUCUGUUUGCCCAUUUACCAGUUGGAGAACAUUUGGGCUGUUCCUAGGUUUUGGUGGUGAUGUGUCCUAACGUUAAUAUUAAAACAGUUUUAACCUUAACCUUUAACCCUGCGAGGGUCUCAAGAAUCCCCAGGAGCUGGAGACCUCUCUGAGGACCUCUGGCCAUGUUGCCUGCGUGUGAUGUGCCCUCUGUCUAGAACGCCAGGACGUAGCUCGAGGGUCUCCUCUGUGCAGGCCUUUCUAAGCCCUCUUUCUACCGUCACUCCUGGGCCCCAUGUCUGGUCUGCUCACCACCAUCUUUGAACUCUGCUGUGCCUGCUCCCAGGGCUCGGCAGUUACUUGAGGAUGUGGCAGCUUCCUCACCUCUGAGGGCGAUGCCUCCACUCUCGGUCCCAGCACAUGCCUGGUACAUGUUUGAAUGAAUAAAUAAUACUUCCUUUACAUAUGUGAGGCAUUUUAUUACUUAUAAGAGAUUUUCUCAUAAAACAUUCAUCCCUCAUUUUUAGCUCUGCAAAGUAUAUAUAGCAAAGUGAUUUUUUAAAUAUCUUUUAUUUUUAUUUUCAUCAGAUAAGGAUAUCUGUGGUCUUUACCAAGCUGUAAUUUAGAAUAACCCGGGAAGCUUUUAAUAAACAGAUUAAAUGCUAAUCUCUGGAGAUCAGGCUUGAGUUAGUACUAUUAUUUAAAAAAACAUCACUGUUGAACCUGAUGUGCAGCCCACAGAGAACCAUUGUCCUAGAACUUGGUUUACUGUGAAGUCUUAGCGAUGACGUCGUUCAGACUGGAACCCUGAUCCUUGACUCCUACUGGAAUGCCUUUUCCUCCACACUCCGGACUCUCCCGUGACUCUCCCGUGAAUAGAAGCACUAUAGAGAUUUAGAGAGCCUUGUUGUAAGAUGACUGUGUUUUCAAUUUGUGUGUUUUCAAUUUAUGGUGUUCUGGUGUGAAGACCAGAACAGUGAAUUUAGGAUGGGGGUGGAGCGGACUGUGUUUCCGUUUUGACUCUGCAUUUAUUAACCUUGGAUUAAUAAAUACUUAAGUUUGUUCUCAGGUUUUUUUUUUUUUUUUUUUUUUUGAGAGAGAACUUGUGCCCAUGCGAGUGGGGGAGGGGCAGCGGGCAUAAGAGAAUCUUAAGUGGGCUCCAUGCCCAGCAUGAGCCCGGACUCGAGGCUCACUCCCACGACUGUGAGAUCGUGACCUAAGCCGAAAUCAAGAGUUGGGAGCUUAACCAACUGAGCCACCCAGGCGCCCCAGUGUCCAUUCCUAUUUUUGAAAUAAGGAUACUACCUUAAAUUCUAGAAGUUUAUUGUGGGGAUCCAAUUAGAUACCGUGUUAAGAGACUUUAAAGGAUUUAUAUAAAGGAUUGCAAAAUCCUUUUGUAAACUAUAAAAUGCUUUCUAAGACUUAUUUUUACUUGAUUUUAGCCUAGUCUAUUUAUUGGUUGAAUUUCCUUGAGGCUCAUGAGUUAAACAAGUAAUAUAAAAAUACGGUGUCACUGAAAUAGUGAAAUAAAAGAAUUAUGCAGAAUAAAACCAAGAGGUUGUCAUUGGUUGCAUAGUUUUGAUGCUUUGUGUAUGAAUUAAGUGCAUAAAUAUGUAUACACGUGACAUACUAUUUUUUUGGGUUGUAUCAACAUAGAGUCUUAUAUAUUUGUGUUCUUUUUAGUUUGAGAGCAUGUUUUUGAUCAUUCUGUAUUAGAAUAUAUAAAUCCCUCUCAUCCUCUCAUUCUUCUUAUAGCUGCAUGAUUUUUUCAUAUAUUUUCAUAUUG
Panthera leo (lion) is the source of this 4909-nucleotide long non-coding RNA. Lineage: Eukaryota; Metazoa; Chordata; Mammalia; Carnivora; Felidae. The record is from Ensembl.